Molecule: ribosomal RNA, 441 nt
Filed under: uncultured bacterium
Lineage: Bacteria
Description: partial 16S ribosomal RNA
Rfam family: Bacterial small subunit ribosomal RNA
Source: RNAcentral
CCUACGGGUGGCAGCAGUGGGGAAUAUUGCACAAUGGGGGAAACCCUGAUGCAGCAACGCCGCGUGAGGGAAGACGGUUUUCGGAUUGUAAACUUCUGUUCUUAGUGAAGAAUAAGUACGGUAGCUAACAAGAAGGCCCCGGCUAACUACGUGCCAGCCGCGGCGGUAAUACGUAGGUGGCAAGCGUUGUCCGGAAUUACUGGGUGUAAGGGGAGCGCAGGCGGGAAGCCAAGUCAGCUGUGAAAACUACGGGCUUAACUUGUAGACUGCAGUUGAAACUGGUUGUCUUGAGUGAAGUAGAGGUUGGCGGAAUUCCUAGUGUAGCGGUGAAAUGCGUAGAUAUUCGGAGGAACACCGGUGGCGAAGGCGGCCAACUGGGCUUUAACUGACGCUGAUGCUCGAAAGCGUGGGGAUCGAACAGGAUUAGAUACCCUGGUAGUC